Chelonia mydas (Green sea turtle) is the source of this 1319-nucleotide long non-coding RNA. RefSeq lists it as uncharacterized. The transcript has 7 exons. The record is from RefSeq and is a predicted model, not a curated record. NCBI's taxonomy places the organism in Eukaryota, Metazoa, Chordata, Testudines, Cheloniidae.
GACUGGAUCAGAGUUGGGGUCGGGGGAGAGGGGCUGGGUGGUGCUCCUUCCCUGCCCCCUGUGUGGAUAGGCCCAGGCCCCCACGUGCCCCUCCAAAGGUUCCUCCAUGCCCCCAUAGGGGGACACACCCCACAGUUUGGGGACCUCUGCUCUAGCCACUAGAGGGAGGACAAAGAGCAACAGUUAGUGUGCGUUAUAUGCAGUGAUAAGCUGCCAAAAGCUGAAGAACCGGUUCCUCCACUCGCUCUGGGUCUUCGGCCGCAGGUUCUUCAGUCGCUCCGGGUCUUCAGUGGCACUGAAGGGCCCACUGCUGAAGUGCCGCCGAAGCCCCGGAGCGUCACCGGGUGAGUAAAAAUUAAAAAGGGAUUCUCAGGGGAGCCUCCCCAGCCGAGAGCUCAGGCGGGCCAGACAGGACGGAGUUUGCCCACUCCUUUAACAACCGGUUCUAAAUCGGCUUCAAAAUUUAACAACCGGUUCGUGCGAACUGGUGCGAACCGGCUCCGGCUCACCACUGGUUAUAUGGAGACAAAGAUCGCAGUUUCACAAGAGGAACACUUCAUAGCUCUUCAACCAUGUUGACAUUACAAUCUUGUACCAUAGCGGGAAAGAUGAAAGCUGACCUGGAGCAAGACUGGUAAUGGCAAGACUGGAUGCAAAAAGCUACAAACAUACGGAUAAAAACAAUUUAAAUUGUGGAGAUCCCCCUAUGGAGAUUCCUGGUGAAUUCAUGAACAAACUGGAAUUGAUUUGAGGAAGAUGCCCAAGAGGAAUUUGGUUGGAAGUUGGUUCAUGGAGAUGUAUUUAGACCUCCAAGGAAGAGAAUGCUAUUAUCCGUCUUUUUGGGUCAAGGAACACAACUUUUCAUUAUGACAUUUAUUAUUCUAUUUCUAGCUUGCCUUGGCUUUCUUUCUCCUGCCAACCAAAGAGCUUUGAUGACCUGUGCAGUUGUACUGUGGGUCUUGCUGGGAACUCCUGCUGGUUAUGUAUCUGCUAGAAUGUAUAAGACAUUUCGAGGUGAAAAGUGGAAGACAAAUGUUUUGCUGACAGCUCUGUUGUGCCCUGGAAUUGUCUUUGCUGAUUUCUUCAUUAUGAAUCUUAUUCUGUGGGUGAAGGGAUCAUCAGCUGCCAUCCGCCUUGGCACACUGUUGCUAUCCUGGCAAUGUGAUUUGGAAUUUCUGUCCCAUUAACCUUUAUUGAUGCAUAUUUUGGAUUAAAAGAAAAGGCAGUUUUUGAGUGCAUUGUUUAAGUGUGUCUUAUCUGCCACUCAGUAUAAUACUUUUCUGUUCUAACAUCAAGUAUUUAUUCAUGCGGAGUUAGUG